RNAcentral lists this ribosomal RNA (497 nucleotides) under uncultured bacterium. RNAcentral's name for it is "partial 16S ribosomal RNA". It matches the Rfam family "Bacterial small subunit ribosomal RNA", at positions 28 to 507 of the family's 1533-position model. The record is from RNAcentral.
GAUGAACGCUGGCGGCGUGCCUAAUACAUGCAAGUCGAGCGAACAGACGAGGAGCUUGCUCCUCUGACGUUAGCGGCGGACGGGUGAGUAACACGUGGAUAACCUACCUAUAAGACUGGGAUAACUUCGGGAAACCGGAGCUAAUACCGGAUAAUAUAUUGAACCGCAUGGUUCAAUAGUGAAAGACGGUUUUGCUGUCACUUAUAGAUGGAUCCGCGCCGCAUUAGCUAGUUGGUAAGGUAACGGCUUACCAAGGCAACGAUGCGUAGCCGACCUGAGAGGGUGAUCGGCCACACUGGAACUGAGACACGGUCCAGACUCCUACGGGAGGCAGCAGUAGGGAAUCUUCCGCAAAGGGCGAAAGCCUGACGGAGCAACGCCGCGUGAGUGAUGAAGGUCUUCGGAUCGUAAAACUCUGUUAUUAGGGAAGAACAAAUAUGUAAGUAACUAUGCACGUUUUGACGGUACCUAAUCAGAAAGCCACGGCUAACUACGUG